UACGAGGGGUCCUAGCGUUGUUCGGAAUCAUUGGGCUUAAAGGGUGUGUAGGUGGCCAUCCAAGUCAGUUGUGAAAUCCCCGGGCUUAACCCGGGAAGUGCUUCUGAUACUGUUUGGCUUGAGUGCUGGAGAGGAUAGUAGAAUUCCUGGUGUAGUGGUGAAAUACGUAGAUAUCAGGAGGAAUACCGGUGGCGAAGGCGGCUAUCUGGCCAUGUACUGACGCUGAAACACGAAAGCGUGGGGAGCAGACAGG
This 253-nucleotide ribosomal RNA is filed under the name uncultured bacterium. RNAcentral's name for it is "partial 16S ribosomal RNA". It matches the Rfam family "Bacterial small subunit ribosomal RNA", at positions 524 to 776 of the family's 1533-position model. The record is from RNAcentral.